Molecule: ribosomal RNA, 253 nt
Filed under: uncultured bacterium
Lineage: Bacteria
Description: partial 16S ribosomal RNA
Rfam family: Bacterial small subunit ribosomal RNA
Source: RNAcentral
UACAGAGGGGGCAAGCGUUGUUCGGAAUUACUGGGCGUAAAGGGCGCGUAGGCGGCCUGCUAAGUCGAACGUGAAAUCCCCGGGCUCAACCCGGGAACUGCGUCCGAUACUGGCAGGCUUGAAUCCGGGAGAGGGAUGUGGAAUUCCAGGUGUAGCGGUGAAAUGCGUAGAUAUCAGGAGGAACACCAAUUGCGAAGGCAGCUCGCUGGGACGUUACUGACGCUGAGACGCGAAAGCGUGGGGAGCAAACAGG